This 6599-nucleotide long non-coding RNA is filed under the name Nicotiana tabacum (common tobacco). Its description in RNAcentral is "long non-coding RNA (NTAB_LNC019542)". Lineage: Eukaryota; Viridiplantae; Streptophyta; Magnoliopsida; Solanales; Solanaceae. The record is from RNAcentral.
AUUAUUUUCUAACAUUUUAGCAUUUUAAAAUCAGCUAAAAUAAUGAAUAUUGAAUCCUUCCUUAUUUAUAAUCUAUAUUUAUAUUAUUAUUAUAAAAGUAUGAAUACAAUGUCGGUUUAUAAAAAUAACCUUGUAAUAUUAAGCAUAAUAACUCAUAAUAAAAGGACAUAACCGGAAUUCUCAAUAUUAGCCAUAUAAUCCUAUUAGUUUUAGGACAUAUACUACACAUUAGGAAUUCGUUUUUGUGUAUCUAAUUUUUUUGCUUACUUUUGUUCGUUGNNNNNNNNNNNNNNNNNNNNNNNNNGGAUGAUGUUUACAAUUUGGUUUCAACAAUGAAGAAGACCAUAUUUAGAGUACGUAUUUAUUUAAAACUCCCUAUUUAUCUCAAUAUUUUUUUUACCAAUAUAACCUAUUGAUUUAAUAGAAAGCUUGAUGUAAUUAAGGCUAUUUUUGUCUACUAAUUUAGUAUAAUGACUUUCGGUAUAGACAUAUAAUACUACAUGUUAGCAUGUAAACCUAACACCUUUAGAAAUACGUUAGAUUUCCUUUAGUAUAAUUACUUUCGGGAAGAUAUAUUUUCGGUCAUGCAAUCCUAUUACUUUUAUGAUAUACUUCUUAAAAGUUCAUAUUACUAAUUUAAUUUUAAAACGUAUUAUAAUGUCCUAUUACUAAUUUAAUUUGAGAAUGUAUUAUAUUGUUCAAAUUUAUUUAGAAAAAUGAGAGCCUAUAUUUUUAUAAAAAUACAAAUACAAUAUUGAUAGACCAAAAUAGAUCAAAAAUAGUAAAUAGAAGAAAUCAUAGGGAAAGGACAUAACUAUAAUAACCUAUUGAAAGGACAUAACUAUAAUAACCUAUUUCCUAGACUACAUUACCUUUUAUGUUAAUUUUUUAAUAUUUAAGAUUUUAACAUUAAUAAAAUUUUAUUUAUUAAGUUCAUAUUAAAAAUAUAAAAGAAGGUUUAAUAAAAUCAAUUCAAUAAGAAUCCUCCGUUGGCAAUACAUUAUCACUCUAUAAUGUCUAAUACCAAGAAAAAAUAAAAUUAAUGUUAAAUAGAAGGCAUAAGGCAUUGAAAUUGAGAAAAAAAAAUAUCUCCAUGAUAAUAUAUUCUAUAUUAUAUUUAAAUAAUUUUCAUAUUCAAAUAUAAAAAUUAUCAAUUUUAUCGUGUAAUAGUAAAAAAUAUACCCAAUUAUUAAACAACAACUAAGAAAAUAUUUAAGAAUAUAAAUAUGUGAGAAAGAGAAAGAAAUAUGGUUGGUAAGGUCAAUACCACUAUUGAUUCUACAAACGCAAAGAUCUAAAAGUAAAAUGUCAGAUCAAUCUCUUUACUCUUUCAAAAUAGAAUUUAUAAUGAAGAAAAUUAUAAUUAAGAUUAAAUAUUCAAAACAAGAGAUGAACUAAUAUUAAGAUCUGAAUCAAUAUAAAAUAAAUUAUUUCUUAUUUAAGUCUAAAUAAUUAAAUCUUUCAAUUAAUUAUUUAGCAAGAGAAUCCAAUUCAGUUCAUCAUAUGAGUAAAAUUAUUUGUCAAGUUAAAACAAAAUUUAGGGGUCAUUUAGUAUAUGUGAUAAUGAUAAUAACCCCGGGAUAAGUUUGGGGUUAGCCUUAUCCCAUGUUUGGUUUGGGUUAUAGAUAAUACCGAGAUAAUUUUUACACGAAAAUGGUGGGAUUAGUUAUCCCAUAUAGAAGGUGUGAUAUCCCACCAUUAUAGCAAACAACCCCUUAGAGUACAUAAAUUUAUUUCAUAUAAAGAGCAUUAGAGUUGAAAAAAAUUAGAACACAAAGUAUAAAAAAAAGUUAAUAUAGUAUUAAGAUUCAAAAUGUCAUACAAAUGUCUGAGGAAGCACAAUCAAAACUAAAUCCUGAACAAGAACAAAUUUUCAAGACUAUAUUAUAAAGAGUCGACUAUGGUAUAGCGGGAUUAUCUUUUAUAGAUGUUUCUGGCAUAAUCGAAAUAAUUUUUUUAUGUCAUGCAUUACUUGAAAAUGUCAGAACAAGAGGCAUGAUACUAUUAGCAAUAAUAACAAGUCGUGUACCAACGAUAAUUUUAUUAUGAGGUCCCUCACUUUAGAUUUGAUAUACCUAUUCAAACAACUGAAUUGGCCAUCACAAAUAUAUCAAAGCAGCGCAAUAACUCUAAUAAGGAAAGCAAAGUUGAUAAGAUGGGAUGAAGCGUUUAUGGCUAAGUAUCAAAUGAUCGAAAUAAUUAUCCGGAGUUCUAGAGAAUCAGUGAUAUAUUGGAUAUCAAUGAACUGUUUAGUGAAAAAUUAAUAGUUUGGAAGGUAAUUUCUGUCAAGUACUACCAGUAGUUCCAAAAUCGAUAAAAGGAGAGAAUAUAAAAGUUAACUUGCCAAAAUUAUACUUAUGGCCUCAAAUGAAAAGGAUUCAACUGAUAAGAAAUAUAAAAUAAGACAAAUCCAGUAUUUAAUGACUUCUUUCUUCAUGUCGGAAACGAAGAAGACCAUCCAAUAAAAGAUGAUUUUAUUCUUCCAAAACAGUUGGUUAUCAACCUCAAUGGUAAUAGUAGUGCAUUUAUUAAGGUUAAUAUUUCCGAAAGUAGAAUAAAACGCAAUUUGCAAAUUGUAUGAUAGAAAUUAAAAAGCUAUCUUAGCUAAUAGAUGAUUAUGUUGAUUAACUAAAUAAAAGGUUGAUGCCAAAUUUUAUGGUAAAAAUAAAAUAUUUUUCAGUUUUUGACUCAGCAGAAGAUGAUACCAAUAAUUACUACUAAAAAGAAUACUUAAAUACUUAAUAUCAAAAGACCUUCUACCAUAGACGUUUGUUGUCAAGUUUAUUAUUUCAUACGUAUGUUAGUGCCAUCGUAUAUAUAAUAGACUAAUUUAAAUUGAUAUUUUAUUGUAUAUAGGUUGAUUUUGAAGAAAAAUAUGCUCGUCAUGCUAUUGAAAUUUGGAUCCGCCAAAUAGCUAUAGCACACAGAUGGUAUAUAGAAGUUUUGACAAUAAUAUCAUACAAAAAUUAUGAUACUGGUCAAUGUGCUUCUAAGUAUAUUUUUAUCCAAGAAUUCAUCUUUCGUCUUCCAAAACUAAAGAAUAUCCUAUUCAAUUUCUGAGAAAAUAAUUUUCAGCAUGUUUAUGUUUUGCAAUUAUAAUAAAUAAAGCACAAGGACAAACAUCCUAAAUGUUAGACUAUAUUUAUCGCAAUAAGCUUUCUUGCACAAACAACUAUAUGUUGCACUUUCAAGAGGGAUAUCAAUAUUGACAUCAAGAGUUGUGGUUAUGACAGAGCAACCAAAGCAUUAGAAGGAAACAUACCCAAAAAAAUAUCGUCUACAAAUAAGUGUUCGAUAAGAUACCAUCACAUUAAAUAUUUUUAAAUUAUAAUACCUAAUUAUCUAACUAACAUGACUAAAUUGAUCAUUUGUAUAAGUUCUGAUGAUGUCAUUUCAUUUUGAAUUUCACGUAUUAUGCUAAUGUAAUAAUAUUUUUCGACAUUUAAAUAAUUUUUGUAUUAUUAUACAUAAAAUUUCUCUCAUUAAUUAAAUAUUGUUGUUCUUUCAUAUAAAUAAAUAUUUAAACCAUCACAUGCUAUUAUUAACGUGCAAUGCACGUUCAUAGAUACUAGUACAUAAAAAUCCUCAUAUGUAGGAGUUUAAAAUUCUUUCCUUAUUUGAUUCGUAACAUAACUAUAAUAUGUUAACUUCUCUUAAUAUCUGAAUUUAAAAUUAAUUAACAACCGCCAUAAAGUGAUAUUACGCGUGCAAGGCCAAUAAUUAGCUUCUUGGUUGUAGCGUUGCCACCUAAUUCUAAUAUGUCUAUGUGUAAGGCACCAGGAAAUUAGGUUAAAACAAAACAAAAAUGAUUCUCAUUAGGGUCUAUAAUAAUACUAAUAAUAAUUAUUAUUAAUUUAAUUGAACUAUUUUUUCAUUUAUGAAAAUUUGAACUAUUUUAAAGUGAAUAUUUUCGAUCUCAAUGUACCGAUUAUAUGAUCAUGAUAAGCUACACACAUUGAAUAAACAAUAGUGCAAGGCAUUAAGCUUUGGUACAACAUGUAGAUGAGGUAAUUUUAAAUCGAUUUGUGAUGUAUCUAUUGCUAUUUGAAAAUUAAAAUUAGGCCAAGUUUUUAAAUAUAAAUUUAUCAAACUGUAAAGAAGUAAUUCAUCUUUAGAAGGUAUUAAAUCCGAUAAUCAUUUUGAGGAUAUUCCCAUCGAUCAUCAUUUCACAUUUGAAAUGUCUCAUCCGUUGAAGAUAGAUUUGAAUAUUUUUAAGACUUAAAACUUGGGAUGAGCUAACAUUAAGAAUUUGAAUCAACAAAAUUAAAAUACUAUCUUUAAUUGUGAAAUAAAUGAUUAUGCCUUUGAGUUAACUAAUUAGCAAAAAAAUUAAUUUAGUUCUUUUCAAAAUUCAUUAUAUAAAUAGAAUAUUUGUCAAGUUGACAAAACUCUUAGGGUAAAAAGAAGAGAAAUCGAUUAUAGUGUAGUAUAUUAAGAGUCAAAUUGAUUAAUUUGAAGCAAUUACGAUAAAAUAGUAUAAGAUAAAAUAUAUUAUAAAUGAAUUGUUAUUUUUUUAUUUGCAUUUAGUCCAAUAAAUGACAAUAUCUCACUAUAUUAUUUGUUAUAUUAAGUUAUUCGUAGUAAAAUAUUCACUUAACAUUAAUACUCAUUUUUAGACUUUACAUUAUCACUAUCAAUUUUAUUAGGUGUGUGAACAAUCUUUUCAUUCCCAAUCCCUAAAAGACAAAAAUAUUUAAUUUUUAAUUGUGUUGUUUGAUAAAUAUUUAGAAAAGCAUACGAAAAGUAUUUUUAUUUUUGUUUUCAGGUCAUACGAAUUUUCAUAAAGUAUUUCGACGUAAGUCCCCUUAAAUUACAAUUAAGUAUCUGAAAAUUUUUGUGAGAAUGAGCUAACUAAUGGGAACAAUAUUCAUUAGUUUCAGGAAUUUUUCUCUAAAUUUUAUUUUACAAUUUUGUAUAACUCAAAUAUAUAGUCUAAUAAUAUUUACGUGAUUUUUAAAAAAUAUACAUAUAAAAGCAAAGCGCGUACCCUGAAACUAGUUAUAUUAAAUGAUGUGCUACGUAUUUUUAUUUCCAGAUGCUAUUAUUAUCAAGUUGUAUAUGUCUAAUUGAAAUAACUGGACCUCUCUAGUACCAAACUCAUCUCGCUAAUCUAGAGGUCUGCGGAGCAUUGCUUUGUCCAUACGAAUUCUUGCUGGUGUGCUAUUUUUUUUCAAUCCUUUUGUUUUAAAGGGAUGCCAUCUCAUUUAGUCAUGUCACUAAAUAGAUACACAUUUUAUCCAAGUUAUCGUCGCCUAGCACAUGGAUACUAAUUGCUUGGAUUUAUGUUCUUUAAUUUCAUUGUCUGAGGUAAAUUAUGAAGAAUACAUUGACUUCGAUGCUGAGCCUUUGCACGUGCAUACAUAUUUAGUAUUAAAAGAAAAUGAGAAGAAUCUUGUAGCCGACUAUCCGACUUUGUGCCGGUCGGCGGUAAGACCCGAAGUGUUUCCUAACAAUAUUUUUUUCAUAUUCGAAGUUCGAACCCGAGAUCUUUAGUUAAGAGUGGAGAAAUCUUAUCCAUCUCAUCCCAACUCAUGUUAGUCAAAUACUCCACUUCCAAUAUUCACCAAGUGCAUGUUGAGACUUGAGUAACAUCAAGUGACACCAUUCAAUUCAAUAAUUUAGAUAUUACAACAUCCUUUUGCUGAAGUGGUUUACUUUGUUAAAUUUGGCAGUGUUGAGCAACUUUUUUCCUAACUUUUAUAAACUAAAUUAAAGAUUAAACGUUAUCUACAUUUUUCUCCACUUUUUAAUCUUUAUGAAAAACAUUAUUUUAAGUUUUGGCAACGUCAAUCACAUUCAACAUAGAUUUCCUUGCCCCCAUGAUCUCAUAAACAAUUCUGAGUGAGCUGUCAAUUUUAACAUUUAUAGACAUAGUAUAUAACUAUAUACUAUCAAUUAUUAAUUUUUAGGAUUAAUACACAAAUGUAAGGCCCUCAAUUUUUAAGUUGUCCAAUUAAACAUUUUUUAUUUGACCGGACACAUAAAUAUACAAAUAAAUAUAUAAAUUUAAAUCAUUAAAAGUUAUGUUAAAAUAGUAAAUAUGUUUUAUUCUUAAUCACAUAUUUCACGUUGGAAUCUUAGUAAUGAAGUCGAGGAUAUUAUCCUAAAAUAAAUUUUUUUAAUGCGAAUUUAAAUUAUUCGAACCUCAAAAUAAAUAGUACUCUAUUAAAUAGGACAAAAAGAAAGUCAAUUUAUUCAAUUGGUGCACCUUUAUGCAAAGCUUUUUCUUUUAUCCUUAUCCUUUCCUUUUUAGCCCCUUUCGGUGGCCUUAGCUACAGAAAAUGGACAUCCUCAGCUGCUGAUUUUAAUUUUUAAAAAACACCCAUUUUACAUAUGCAUUGCACGUUUUUUUAUGUAGGUCUGGGUCAAGCAAAGAAUCUUAAUUUUUCUUGCAAGAUCAGCUACAACAACUCUUAAUUUGUAUAUAAAUUUUUUAUAUUUUUAUUUCUCUGAAGAACUUUCUUUCUACGCAUUUGGAGAUCACCCUUUUCAAAUAGAGAACAAAUGGAUAGAUCAAACCCUAAAUUCCACCCCCUUCAGCUCUAAAGAUCGAGUCUUUACUGAAAAGGAUCCAAGAUUGUCUGCUUAUUGAAUCUCUG